Molecule: transfer RNA, 73 nt
Filed under: Camelus bactrianus (Bactrian camel)
Lineage: Eukaryota; Metazoa; Chordata; Mammalia; Artiodactyla; Camelidae
Also listed under: 2 other names
Rfam family: tRNA
About the family: Transfer RNA (tRNA) molecules are approximately 80 nucleotides in length.
Source: Rfam by way of RNAcentral
GAGGGUAUAUCUCAACUGGUAGAGCACAUGCUUGGCAUACACAAGGUCCUGGGUUCAAUCCCCAGUACCUCCU